CGGGGCUUAAAGUCUUGUAAUUGGAAUGAUGGGAAUUUAAACCUCUUCCAGAGUAUCAAUUGGAGGGCAAGUCUGGUGCCAGCAGCCGCGGUAAUUCCAGCUCCAAUAGCGUAUAUUAAAAUUGUUGCAGUUAAAAAGCUCGUAGUUGAAUUUCUGCUGCAUUGCUUGUGUCCCUCUGGGGUCUGUGCAUGUGGUUUUUUUCGGACGGAGUUUCUUUGUCUGAAUGUUUACUUUGAGAAAAUUAGAGUGCUCAAAGCAGGCUUUCGCCUUGAAUAGUUUAGCAUGGAAUAAUAAAGUAGGACUUUGGUUCUAUUUUGUUGGUUUUAGGUACCAAAGUAAUGGUUAAUAGGAACAGUUGGGGGCAUUCGUAUUUAACUGUCAGAGGUGAAAUUCUUAGAUUUGUUAAAGACGAACUACUGCGAAAGCAUUUGCCAAGGAUGUUUUCAUUAAUCAAGAAC
Molecule: ribosomal RNA, 458 nt
Filed under: Theileria annulata
Lineage: Eukaryota; Apicomplexa; Aconoidasida; Piroplasmida; Theileriidae
Description: SSU rRNA
Rfam family: Eukaryotic small subunit ribosomal RNA
Source: RNAcentral